This 491-nucleotide ribosomal RNA is filed under the name uncultured bacterium. RNAcentral's name for it is "partial 16S ribosomal RNA". It matches the Rfam family "Bacterial small subunit ribosomal RNA", at positions 29 to 506 of the family's 1533-position model. The record is from RNAcentral.
AGUGAACGCUGGCGGUAGGCCUAACACAUGCAAGUCGAACGGCAGCACAGUAAGAGCUUGCUCUUGCGGGUGGCAAGUGGCGGACGGGUGAGGAAUACAUCGGAAUCUACUUUUUCGUGGGGGAUAACGUAGGGAAACUUACGCUAAUACCGCAUACGACCUACGGGUGAAAGCAGGGGAUCUUCGGACCUUGCGCGAUUGAAUGAGCCGAUGUCGGAUUAGCUAGUUGGCGGGGUAAAGGCCCACCAAGGCGACGAUCCGUAGCUGGUCUGAGAGGAUGAUCAGCCACACUGGAACUGAGACACGGUCCAGACUCCUACGGGAGGCAGCAGUGGGGAAUAUUGGACAAUGGGCGCAAGCCUGAUCCAGCCAUACCGCGUGGGUGAAGAAGGCCUUCGGGUUGUAAAGCCCUUUUGUUGGGAAAGAAAAGCAGCAGGUUAAUACCCCGCUGUUCUGACGGUACCCAAAGAAUAAGCACCGGCGAACUUCGU